AGAGUUUGAUCCUGGCUCAGGACGAACGCUGGCGGCGUGCUUAACACAUGCAAGUCGAACGAUGAAGCCAGCUUGCUGGUGGAUUAGUGGCGAACGGGUGAGUAACACGUGGGCAACCUGCCCUCAGCUCUGGGAUAACUCCAAGAAAUUGGUGCUAAUACCGGAUAUUCAUUCAGCCUCGCAUGGGGUUGUGUGGAAAGUUUUUCGGCUGGGGAUGGGCCCGCGGCCUAUCAGCUUGUUGGUGGGGUGAUGGCCUACCAAGGCGACGACGGGUAGCCGGCCUGAGAGGGUGACCGGCCACACUGGGACUGAGACACGGCCCAGACUCCUACGGGAGGCAGCAGUGGGGAAUAUUGCGCAAUGGGCGGAAGCCUGACGCAGCGACGCCGCGUGAGGGAUGACGGCCUUCGGGUUGUAAACCUCUUUCAGCAGGGACGAAGCGAAAGUGACGGUACCUGCAGAAGAAGCACCGGCCAACUACGUGCCAGCAGCCGCGGUAAUAC
This 503-nucleotide ribosomal RNA is filed under the name uncultured Geodermatophilus sp. RNAcentral's name for it is "bacterial SSU rRNA". It matches the Rfam family "Bacterial small subunit ribosomal RNA", at positions 8 to 526 of the family's 1533-position model. The record is from RNAcentral. Lineage: Bacteria; Bacillati; Actinomycetota; Actinomycetes; Geodermatophilales; Geodermatophilaceae.